This is a long non-coding RNA of Orcinus orca (killer whale), 3558 nucleotides long. RefSeq lists it as uncharacterized. The record is from RefSeq and is a predicted model, not a curated record. Lineage: Eukaryota; Metazoa; Chordata; Mammalia; Artiodactyla; Delphinidae. The transcript has 2 exons.
CUGCAGCCUGAAAGCAUGAGAAGACCUGGUUAGGCCAGCAGACAUGAGGAAAGAACAAGGAAGCUGAACUCUAGUAAACAGCUGUCAAACUUGGUUGGUUGUCUGGGCUUUUCUGCUCUUGUAUGUAACGAUUUGUUGAAUUAAAUAAUGGCUAGAGUCCUUAUUAGGGACUGUUAGCUUAUACGUGACAGACUGCAGAAAUUGGCCGUAAAUACUUUGCAGCUCUUCCAUCGAGGGGCAGAGUCUGCUUCUCCACCUCUUGAAUCUGGGCUUGGCUCUAUGACUUGCUUUUGGCCAAUGGGACAUGAGCAAACAUGGCUUGAAAAAAGUUGUCGGGAACCUUUCCACCACUAUGUAAGCAAGCCUGGCUAUCUGCUGGAGAGACCAAGUGGAGAGAGACUCCAGAAACACAGGGAAUCCAAAGACCAUCAACUGGCCUGGACCCAAGACUGAGCGCGGAUCUCCCCAGCUACCAUUUCACCAUUUUGCUGAUGAUGCUGCACUCUUGGCUUGGAUCAGCUUAUUCAGCAGUGAAGCUCUAGGUGGGAUCUUUUUUUUUUUAAAGUCCUGGAACUCCUUCAGUUAUGCAGGAGGAGGGGGACACACAAUCUCUCUCCUGGGCUACAGAGAAAACUUAACCAGCCUCUGUGCCUCUGUUUUUGCCACCUCCAAACCACUCAGCACAGGCCUGUUAAAGUCACGCUGUUGCUUAAAACCUUCACCUACAGAAUCAAGUCAUCAGCAGGCCUUUCAUGGUCUGGUCCCUGCCCUACCUCUCCAGCUUGGUUUCCUGCCCCCCCUCCGCCAUACUCUGUGUUCCUUCUGCCUUCCACUUACUACUUGAACAUAUCUUGCUCUUUGGUAUCUCAGUGCCAUUGUAAUGACUACUCCUGCUGCCUGGGAUGCCCUUGUUUUACUGGCAAACUCCUAUAAGUUCUUCCAGACCCACUCUGCUUUGACAUCUCCCUGAACGCCAGCCUCACACUUGGCAGUACCUGGAAACUGGUCCCCAUCAGACUCCUCCCUCAGCUGCUCACUCCUCCGGCUCUCUCGGGCCUCCCUCCAGCGCAGCUUCUGGAUGGAUGGAUUUCGGAGGCAUUUCCGGAUGCGGCACUUUUUCCGCUGCACAGUCUCCGGGCAGGGUGCACCUCCAAACUGAGGCUCCAUUUGGAUCAUGCGGGUUCGAAUCAUGUGGCCUUUCCCACAUGACUUGUUACAUUCCGACCACUGGGACCACUCGGUGAGCUCACAGUCAAUGGCUGGCAAGACACAGAUGGGCGUGAGUAUAUCUCAUGUCUGAAACAAGAUACGGUCACUUAUACUCUCCUUUGAACAUCUCAACACAAGCCUAUGGGAAAUGCAAAGCAGGUGCUGUUACUCCAUUUUACAGAAGAAGAAACUGAGGCUCCAGGAGGCAGACUGACUUUAUCCAGCCCACACGGUUGGUAAGCAGUAGAUGCAGAUCAAAACCCACAUGCUAUGCUAUGCCCUCUUUAUGAUUUGAGGAGGCUUUUGGGGGGACCUUGAAGAUUAGUUCAAAGCCUCUUGCCUUGCUCUCUAAGCUUCUAGAAUAUUGUCAAAUUAGCCUCAAGUGGCACAGACUAGCUUCCCACAGCCACGGACCCUGAUUUUCUGAGGGAAGGCACAGUUCACUGGUGCCAUUUUCCAGAGCUGCCCCCGUGGACUAAUACUAAGGACAUUGUGACUUCUGCAGUAAGACCCAGGCAGUGUUUCUUGUUCUCGAUAUCAUCCUGGGUCUUAUAUAUGGCAGUCUGCAAAAAACACAGGAGUCAGAAAUAGGAAAUUCAGUAGAGAAGAGGGGCAGUAGCAAGUGGUGUCAUGGUUUAUCAUGGUAAGAGAUCCAGCAGAGUCUUCUCAUUAAGCCAGCAUCUCACAAAUGUGGACGAAAGAUAACCCAUUCUAGUGAUUCUCAGGAUGCUUCCUAGGGAGGCAAAUGAUUUUCAAACUCUGCUUCCCUUGCAAAGUGAGGGCCCGGCUGGAUGGAUCUAGGAAAAACUCAUUUUGUUCAUGGUCUUAGGCCUUUUCUCCCUGUGGGAGCUCAGGCAGCUUUCCCAUCUGCAGCAUGGGGAUAAUGUUAUUUUUCUCAUUAGGUUGUGAGAAUUAAGUAAUGCUCUCAGCCCAGUUUCUGGCCCACAGUAAGUGUUCCAUAAAUGUUCUUUUUCUUCUCCCUUCAUUCACUGGACCCUGUGGAUAUAGAGUUUUGUUUAAGUCAGUAACAGUGUCUCAGAACAUUCUGGAGCCCCAGCUCUGGUGAGCUGUGUUGAACACGGGGUAGAUCUUAGUAAAAGCCCAAGGCUUUGUUUAGUUUGAUGGGCUGGGUCAUCUCCACACAUGACUUUGGCUAAAACAGCUCAGGAACUGUAAUAUGUAACAUUGGUGGAGGUCUGCACUUCCCAAGUCCAGUGCUCGGCACUUUGUACCAAUUAUGUGGUUUAAUUCUCAGAGCAACCUAGGAAGUUUUUCUCACUCUUUUACAGAUGAGGGACAGGGAUGCUAAGUAGUGUGCUGAAGUUUAUGCAGCCAGUAAGGGACAGAGCUAGGACCUGUCCCCAGGCACGCAGCCUGAGUAAGGGGAGGAAGCACAGAAGGCUGCAAGUGCAUUUCAGAGAAAGCCCGAAAACACAUCUUAGCAAGUGUGUCUGACUUUCCACCACCUGAAAGGGAAGCUCUCAUGGAAGACUAGCCAGAAAAAUGGGCUCUCUCCUUGGAAAUUAGUCCCCAGAUAAUAAACUCACCCUCAUCUCCUCUCAAAUCUCUGUGAGAUUUGAGAGGAGAUGAGGGUGGGCAUGGAGCUUUUGAGCUUGUUGACUUGCUGGCCUGUCUUCUUAUCAAGGCUGCAGAGGUACAGGAGUCACUGGUUUAAAGUCUACCCUUUGGUCAUGGGUAAAUAAACUGGUCACAGGGAGGAGGAAUAGAAUUAAAAAGCUUGGAAAACCCCAUGGGCCAGACAAGCCUCUAACUUGGAGGGGUGGAGAACUAUGAAAUACAUUUUAUCGAGCCUGUACUGUUUUCCAUCUAAGCCUCCUGUUUUGACUUCACAGCCAUUUACAAUUUGGGUGUUUUGUAGAUGGUUAGUGGGAUCCCCUUUUACUACUGAGAAGAUUGAGAGUUUAAAUAACUUUGCUAACACAGAGAUGCAGGGCCCAGCAAACAGUCAUAACUGUACGAGCUAGCACAGGGCUGGUUAGCAGGAGGAGAGGAGGGGAGAGGUGGCUUCCAGGAGCUCCAGGACUUACGGCACUCGGGCAGCAUGCACUUUUCCACUUGCUCCAGCGCCUCAUUACAGUCCCCAAGUUCGGCUAGAGACUUGAGCAUCCGCUGGCGGGUCCGCAUGCCCUUCCCACAGGUCACGCUGCAGUCGCUCCACUCGGACCACGGGGACAGCAAGCAGGGGAUGGUGUCUAGACCAAGAGCCAGGUAUGCCACUGAGAACAGGCUCCCUUUGCUUUCUUUGAUCUGGUGCCCUGUACCCUUUGUCCCCCACUCAAGCCCCUUGAGUAAAGUGAAACUGACCAAUGGGUUUGGAUAACCGAAGUG